Long non-coding RNA from Jaculus jaculus (lesser Egyptian jerboa), 203 nucleotides. RefSeq lists it as uncharacterized. The transcript is spliced from 3 exons. NCBI's taxonomy places the organism in Eukaryota, Metazoa, Chordata, Mammalia, Rodentia, Dipodidae. The record is from RefSeq and is a predicted model, not a curated record.
GUCACUAGUGUUUCUGGAGUGGUGCAGCUCUUUUCCUCCUUCAACACUCUCUGAGGCACCACUCCAUACCACUGUAGACUAUGAGUUACUGAGUGAGGAAGACAGAGGGCCUUUCUUACAAGUGCUGAAUCGGUAGAUACUUGUAUCCGCUCCUGACAGACGGAGGACAGUUCUCCCAGGGAAUGUAUUUUUAGCAAUCACUA